AGGCUAUGUGCUGCAGCCAAGGAUGACUUGCCGGAAAAGCUAUAUUUUACAUUAUAUUACCCUGUUCCCUGAUAUUAACUAUAUGCUUCUGUAUCAAUUUUAACUAUACAUUAAUAAAAUUUAUAAUAAAUGUUAUAAGAGUUUAUCGGCAAGUCGUCUCUGGCUAUAUCACUGUUUCA
This 179-nucleotide microRNA precursor is filed under the name Theobroma cacao (cacao). The record is from RNAcentral. Lineage: Eukaryota; Viridiplantae; Streptophyta; Magnoliopsida; Malvales; Malvaceae.